UCUAGACUUCCAGUCGCUUCUUCUCUCUCUCUCGCUUCGAAGUGUAGACUAGCGACAUCGACCGUAGACCGACGACCGACGACUUUGAACUUGGAACGGCGGGUGGUAGUGGCUACUGUCUCUCCUUCUCGUCCAACAGAUCGAAGCCUGCGACGAUGUUGGUCGGAGUUGCAGCGGCGGCGAGGUAGCUGCAGUGACAGCGGAUCUGGAGAUCGAACAUCAGCAAUGGUAGCAAGCUGGUGGCGAGGGUGCUGGUUCGGAGCUUCGGCGGCGGCAGUAGCAGGUUCCGGCGAUAGCAGGUGUGCGGAGCAGUCUCAUGUUGAUGGUUUUCAUUUUCAUUCAAUUCCAUCAAUGUUUUAUACACACAACGGAUUUGUAUCAUUUACUGGAUUUGCAAUACUACCAAAAUCAGCCAAAAAUGCCACUUUCAUACUUUUUAUGUAAUUGCAUUUUGUAUUUUACAAUAUUGUAUUUUGAUGAUAUAUAAUUGUAUUAAAGUUUGAUUAAAUUAUUGUGUUACUA
Ipomoea triloba (trilobed morning glory) is the source of this 522-nucleotide long non-coding RNA. RefSeq lists it as uncharacterized. The transcript is spliced from 2 exons. NCBI's taxonomy places the organism in Eukaryota, Viridiplantae, Streptophyta, Magnoliopsida, Solanales, Convolvulaceae. The record is from RefSeq and is a predicted model, not a curated record.